GCUACAUUUUUAACUGGAUUUAACCACACUCAAGUGAUUACAAAACUAUGGCACGUGACCAUAUCUUGAUGAUGAAAGUGUGUGGCUGAAGGCAGGAACUGAAAAAAAAAUUAAACAUGUCAUGUUUAUCCUACACCGACUUCACCACAUACACAGAAAGUCAGUAUUUGCUGGAUCAAGGACUGACGGUCCACUUGGUGAGGAGGCUAAGCUGAUGAUAAUUAAAGAGGCUUAAGCAUCAUUUAACCCAAGUCUUUGAAAGGUGAAAGUUCAGUACUUGGCACUAUCCUCCUCCAACUCCUUGGAAGUCCUGAAGGACAUUUGUGGGCAGACAUGCUGCACUGAUAAGCUUUGGUGAGUGUUCACCUACACUAGACCCAGGCUGACAACAAAACCUGCUCUUAACCCACUGCGAGUUCCAGGAGCCCUCAGAAGGUUUCCAAGACACAGUGGAUGAAUUGAUGAGGAAGACUCAAGGGAAGGUAGUUAAUUAGGGCUUGUAUGCCAUUUACGAUUCAACUACUCAUGUUUGUGUCUUAGCUUUUGACAGAAGACAUAGGACAAGAUGGAGGGCAUGUGAGCACAAGGCCUGUCUAAGCUGUGCAGGGAGUUGGCAAAACUAGACCUCAACUGUGUUGAGGAAUCAGACUUAGGUUUUCAUUCUGCCAGUUCUCAGAAAUGACAACGUUUAAAAAUUCUGCAAAGAAUUCCAGCUAAGGCAUUUCCCACUCUCACCAAUGUUACUGUGUUAUCAGAGGUCUCACUGACUGUUGUUGACAAGCCAACUGUGUAGAUAUGCAACAGAUAUGUCACUUCAUAACCUCCAAGUAGCUUCACAUGUAUGAGUUCACAGUGAUGGCUUCAUUUUAUGAUUGUAUAUGUAUUCAAGAUAAGAAAACCAAGCAGUAAAGUUUAAAAAGGGAAAAGCCAGGUGGUCUGAAAUCUUUCUACAUAAAAAUAAAUCUUUUCUUACCAUCAGAUGAACAUUUUUCAAAGACUCUCCCCAUAGAUAAC
Long non-coding RNA from Peromyscus eremicus (cactus mouse), 1014 nucleotides. RefSeq lists it as uncharacterized. The transcript has 3 exons. Lineage: Eukaryota; Metazoa; Chordata; Mammalia; Rodentia; Cricetidae. The record is from RefSeq and is a predicted model, not a curated record.